Lagopus muta (rock ptarmigan) is the source of this 668-nucleotide long non-coding RNA. RefSeq lists it as uncharacterized. NCBI's taxonomy places the organism in Eukaryota, Metazoa, Chordata, Aves, Galliformes, Phasianidae. The transcript is spliced from 3 exons. The record is from RefSeq and is a predicted model, not a curated record.
GGUUGCCCAGAGAAGUUCUGCUGUUUCCAGUCCCGAGGAGUUUCCAAGAUGUAAUAUGAUAAAGUCCUGAGCAAUCUGGUCCAACACCACAGCUGACCCCACUUGGAGCAGGACCAGGACGGGCUCAUCUGAUUUAUUUGGACAGUGGUGCCUGUGCCUCUCACUGCCACCCUCAUCAACCCGUUCAACCACCCUGUUUUCUGCAAGCCACUGCAACAGCGCUUCUGACCUCUGCUUGCUGUGAAGUUUUCUUGAGUUACAUGAAAUUAAAGAGCAGAAUGAUGGCCACUCUCACAUCAUGUUGUAAAUGAGGCCCAUGCAAACAGCAUUUGAGUGGAAAGACUGUUGGAUUUUUCUUCAACUUUCAUACAGCUUUCAAAAGCUGUAAAAGAUUACUUCGAAGCUUCUUUUUGGUCGACAUUUCUAGCAGAAUUAAGGCUAAAAGCAGCUAUUGAGAUCAGAGCAUCACAUCUGCAUUAGGACCCUGAGACUCAUCCAGUAAACACAAUGAGGCCUGAGGGAAGCCAGAAAUACAGAAAUUUAGGAACUGCUAAACUGCCAAGAUUUACUUUUCCAAGAUCUGCAGAUCUGAAUUAGUUACCAGAAGGAAGCAAGCAACUCACAACUCUCAGAACAUUCACACAGGAACAAUCAGUUUCAAAAAUAAA